UACGGAGGGUGCAAGCGUUAUCCGGAUUUACUGGGUUUAAAGGGUGCGUAGGUGGUUUUGUAAGUCAGCGGUGAAAGCUCGGAGCUCAACUCCGAAAUUGCCAUUGAUACUGCAAAGCUUGAGUACAGUUGAGGUAGGCGGAAUAUGUCAUGUAGCGGUGAAAUGCUUAGAUAUGACAUAGAACACCAAUUGCGAAGGCAGCUUGCUAAACUGUAACUGACACUGAGGCACGAAAGCGUGGGGAUCAAACAGG
This 253-nucleotide ribosomal RNA is filed under the name uncultured bacterium. RNAcentral describes it as "partial 16S ribosomal RNA". It matches the Rfam family "Bacterial small subunit ribosomal RNA", at positions 524 to 776 of the family's 1533-position model. The record is from RNAcentral.